AGAAAUGUGCCUGAAAACAAAGGACUACUUUGAUAGAGUAGAUCAUGAGAGUUAAAAUCUCCCCAUUUCUU
RNAcentral lists this transfer RNA (71 nucleotides) under Derichthys serpentinus (narrownecked oceanic eel). Its description in RNAcentral is "tRNA-Ile". It matches the Rfam family "tRNA". From Rfam's summary of the family: Transfer RNA (tRNA) molecules are approximately 80 nucleotides in length. Their secondary structure includes four short double-helical elements and three loops (D, anti-codon, and T loops). Further hydrogen bonds mediate the characteristic L-shaped molecular structure. tRNAs have two regions of fundamental functional importance: the anti-codon, which is responsible for specific mRNA codon recognition, and the 3' end, to which the tRNAs corresponding amino acid is attached (by aminoacyl-tRNA synthetases). tRNAs cope with the degeneracy of the genetic code in two manners: having more than one tRNA (with a specific anti-codon) for a particular amino acid; and 'wobble' base-pairing, i.e. permitting non-standard base-pairing at the 3rd anti-codon position. Lineage: Eukaryota; Metazoa; Chordata; Actinopteri; Anguilliformes; Derichthyidae. The record is from RNAcentral.